UCUUCAGAAACAAACCAGCAGAAGGGAAUGUGGGUAAGCUAAGGCGAGAAUGGGAGAGAGGGAGAAGGCGAGAAUGGAAGCUUUUGUGUGACUGGCAUAAAGAAGAAUAGAAGGGAGAUGAGAUGGUCAGACGUCGUGACCUACAAUGAGAACAACUAAACGGGACAAAACGAAGGAGCGUGACUGCGAAGCUUUGUGCGGGGGACCUAGGACACAUCAUAGCACUUCCUCAAAUUCGUGUUUCAUUAAACAGCACUUUGAAAGACUUGAAAUUUUGGAUUUCUUCUAUGUGCUUGAGGAUUGAGGAAGUUACCUGUACAAUGAACAUGGACUUUGGCGGUAUCUUCAUGUACUUCCCCAAGUUUAGAUCACUAAGCAGUGUGAGUGCGUGGCCAACGCUUAUGCUGCCAUAAGUCUUGAAUGUCACAUUUGCGAGAGGCUUUCCAGAUAUCCAUUACCGACAACUUUAUAAAUUAGUACUUGAAGAGGGAGACUUGAACAAGGUUUCCUGGCCACCACAUAUAUGGAGAUUCAACCAGGUAUUUUCUGAAAAUACCAGCCCAACCAUAGCCCAGCAACUGUAAAAGUUUCAAAGACAAAUAGAAAUUAAUCCUAAAUAUAGCAAUGGAAGGCUGCCAUUAGAUUGAUCUUUCUAUGAUAGAAGGCCUUGACUACAGUGAAAAGAUGGACAGAAUAAACGCCAUGUGCUCCUGUGCCUGCAAAGACGGUUAUAAGACAAUGUUCUUUCAUUGUAAAUGGUCC
Molecule: long non-coding RNA, 762 nt
Organism: Dendrobium catenatum
Lineage: Eukaryota; Viridiplantae; Streptophyta; Magnoliopsida; Asparagales; Orchidaceae
Exons: 5
Source: RefSeq, a predicted model, not a curated record